UAUGUCAAAAUAUCCUACUGAAAUUUAUGGUGCAAUUCUCAUGCUUGGUUUCCCUGAGAAUUCUUCAGCCAUGACAUAACUUUUCCACCACACACCUUGCAUUUAUAUCAAGCCAAUGCCCGCGUGCAAACUUGUGGACCCCGCUGAUCAUAGCAUGUUCUCUUUCAUGGCAACUUGGAGAUCUACAUGCCAAAAGAACUAACACAGUCUCCUAUCAAAAGGAAACUCACCAUCUGCGAGAAUAUCAAUAUCUCAUUUACUGAUUCUGGAGUAAUUUGCUGAGCCCACUCCACCUUCUUGACAAUUUUCU
This 310-nucleotide long non-coding RNA is filed under the name Citrus sinensis (sweet orange). RNAcentral's name for it is "long non-coding RNA (CSIN_LNC002504)". The record is from RNAcentral. Lineage: Eukaryota; Viridiplantae; Streptophyta; Magnoliopsida; Sapindales; Rutaceae.